UUGGAGUCCUCCACUGUUUGGAAGUGUCGUGUUUCCCAAACGCAGGGCUGUUGUGUCUUAUUUGACAUAUCUUCCUGUUUCACAGGUUAAAGACUUUUUGAAGUAAAGAGGAGCAUCUCAUCUGAACCUGAUGUCUAUCAUGGAUAUUUAACUGCAGUUCUGUGAGUAUCCCAACUUAACCAUGAAGAUGAACUGCAAACUGUAAGUCAUUAAUUUCUCAUUACUCUUGGGCACAUUGAUGUAUUUUGGCUUCCUGUUGAGUUAACCCUUUACCUGAAGGUUGAUCUGAGUUGUAAGGAUGUUUUAUUGGUUCAUUGGUUACUUAGGUGUUUGGUUUAUGUUGGUUUUAAUGAUUUGUUAAAAUGGUUACAGGCUCCCAAGUUAUUGUUGUAAGCUGGAGUAAUGGUUGGGUUCUGAUAUCUUCAGUCUUCUUUCCAGCUACUCUCCUGAGCUCUGCAUCUUCAUCACAUGAGUGUUGCUCUACUGACGAGGCUGUGGUCUGAGUGAGCAGAGGUGCAUACUGGGAUACAGAGCUAUCUGAAGUCUACAGGUCUGUAGACACGCCCCCUCAGGGGAAACCGAGUGUUUGAGAAACCGUCGUGACGUCAGUUACAUGGACUGGAAUGUUCUUUAAGAUGGAGACAGGGAUUCAGAAAGAGAAACACCAGGGGGAGAUGAGGGGGCUCCUCAUCUCAACCACUAAAACACAACUUCAGUCUGACACAGAACCAUGGAACACAUUCAACAGUCCCCUCAGGCAUCGUGACUCCUCAGGAACAGUUUCAUUUCCAAGAAGGUCUUAUUUGGGGCCAUCCCCAUAUGGAUCCUGCUCCUCAAGAGCCACCCCCCUCCACUGGGUGGUCUUCUGAACAGAUGACCUUCCUGUCCUCAGGCUGACUAAAGCUGCACCGUUUGCAUCUGUGAAGGCCCCUCAUUCAGGAAACACUGGACUACAAAGACAUGACUUCAGAGACGUUGAAUCACCUUGGGACACAUUUUGGAGACGCCAAGCAUAAUCCAUCACCAAUGUGGGACGCCACUGAAAAAUGUUGCACAUAAUUAACUUCUCUGGAGACAUUGGUUGUUCUGUUCUGGGUGCCCUGGCAGGAGAGCUGGGGUUGGAUGAUGGAACGUUAUUUGGCAGAGUGUGUGUGUGUGUGUGUCACACCUGGCAUGGGGUACGUGUGUGUGUGUGUGUGUGUGUCACACCUGGCAUGGGGUUCUACGUGUGUGUGUGUGUGUGUGUGUGUGUCACACCUGGCAUGGGGUUCUACGUGUGUGUGUCACACCUGGCAUGGGGUUCUACGUGCGUGUCCUGGGUUCUAUGUGUGUGUGUCCGGCUUGCUUUGACAGUAAUAAUGUUCAUACGGGGGUCUGUGUGAUUGGCUUGGGAUAUUGGAAUGGUCAACUAAAUCAUACCUGAUGGACGGCCACACGUUUACUUAAGGGCCUCCAGUAGACAUGAAGAGCCCUGAGCGAUGCUCCGGAGCGAGAUCCAACACACUGGGCAGGAAGGAGAGUAUCCAACUCAAGUGUAAAAGGAUGCAAGCGGCGGGUUCAGAUCAGCGACUUCAAACUAGGACUACACCGAUCAGGAUCAAUGGAGGAUGGACACCUAAAGGAAUUCCCAAAGGAGAGUCUGACGUUGGAAAGGGACCUAAAUGGAUGUUCAAGAUAACCUUCAGACCUGUAAUGAGACGGCUCUUUCUACCUGGCUGGAUUGAUGGAGAGCCCUGUGGAUCUUGUCUUGCUCUCAGUUGCGCAUCUUCUCAGGCUGAACUGUAUUUGUUUCGGACAGGACUAGCUGAACGAUUGGUUCCCUUAAAUCAGAACCAAUCUGGGAACUCCAACUAGUGCGCUCUUUGAGCUGAAGUGGUGCUCUUCAGCUGAGGAGGUAUGGAAACCUUCACUGGGGUUUCAAGGUGUAAAGAGGAGGAUCUUUCAAAGUGUUCCAUGGUACUCUGAUGAGGACCGUUGUUGUGUUCCAUUGGCUGGGAGGAAGAACCCUCACAUCUUCCUCUUGGCCUUUCUCCUCUGAGAAUCCUGGCGCCAUCUUGAAGGAUAUUCCAGCUCAUGUAACUACUGUCACGACAGAUUCUCAAACACUUGGUUUCUCCUGAGGGGCGUGUCUAUAGAACUGAAGACUUGAGACGGCACUGUAUCCCAGCAUGCAUCUCUGCUCACUCAGACCACACCCCCAUGAGUAGGAUGCAACAUUCUAGGGAUGGAGAUGUAGAGUUUUAUAAGUAACGAGGGAUAAGACAAAGGUAUUUAGAACACAAUGUCAAGUCUGUAAAUCUUUAAACCAUGGAGAUGAUUGGAUAGUUCAGGAAUUGGGCUUCUAUUUAUUAUGAGCAGUCCUUUCGCUCAGGUGCCCACUUCUCACUAGACCUGUACAUGUGUUGGCUGGCUGGCAUGAUUUGCUGUUGGUGAUGAGGCGGUCAAGGUGACGCUGGGCUAUGGUCGGCUCUGUGUGAGCUCAACGUUUAGAUUUGCUCUGUAUGGUUUGUACCCUGAAUAAUCUAGAUAAUUGUAAAAUGUAGACAUGGUUUUGUAUUGAAUGAUUCCAUUGUUCUUAGGCAAGGAUUUGAGGUUUAAAGUUGUUGUGGGACGUACAUGGUAGUUUGGUUCUUUGUACGGUUUUGAGUGAUAUAACAUGUACACACUGGGUGCAUAAUCAUGUAAUGACCAACAGCAACAAACAGAUCUCCUCAAGGUAAGUCUGUUGGCUGUGUUUUAAUGAAGACCAUCGCUGGACUUCAGGAUCUUCCUCCGUUCAGCUAAAGGUGAGGCGCUGGUUAUGUUUCUUUGGUUGGUUCCGGCCGGAAUGUUCGUAUUCCAGUCGGACGGUUUGUGCUUCCCGCCGUGGAGGUUUCUGAGUGCGUCACUUUAUUUAGUCCCAAUGGUUAGCAUAGAACGUUGUAGUCUUGAUAAACAUUAGAAGCCACCUGGCAGUUAGUUGGAGCGGAGUCCCCUGAGGGAAUCUGGCGGAACGUUCUGGAUUGUAUUUGCGUAACCUCGAGCCGCUGCCAACGGAAACAAUUUUUCAGUCGGUUUCCAUUGGGAAUUGUUGCCCCUUAUCUUAAACAAUUUAAGUUUGAUAUUAAAUAAUACAUUUAAUUUAAAGGGCGCCUUUCAAGACACACAAGGUCACCUUACAGAGCAUAAAGUUAUCAUAAAUCGUUUAAAAACAAGACUUUGUGGAAAAAUAAUAAUAAAUAAAUAAAUAAAACAAAAACAAGACAAAACAAACAAUCAAGACAGAUCAGUUAGACGUAAAAUACUGACACGUACGUCGUACAAUAUCUUGAUAAUUUUCGAUGGUUGCGCCGUACUUCUAACCACGUUGACGGGACUCGCGCUGCGUACGAAACGGCCUUCUACUUGCGGGCCCAUUUUUGACAUCAGUGAAGGCUGUAAAUCAUUUCAAGCUGGAAGACAUUUUGACAGUUCUUCAACGGAACCCAGCACCUGAAUAUGGCUGAGUAAAUUUGAUUUAAUAUCGAUACUGCUUAGUGUUUGUUACUUCAGCUUUUGUACGUUCUAAAUAUCUGCGGCCAUUAAUUGCCACAGAAGUUAAACCCUACCCAAUGGAAUGACGUUAAACAACGACUUUGUUGCAGUGUUACCAACUGGAUAAUAUCAAAGCUAAAAUAAUGGCCGUUCUUCUCACAUGUUACAGUAGAAGAUUAUCCAGAACUGUACAAGGUUAAAAAGGUAACAUGUAGUUUGUCCCAAGGUGUCUGCCUCCUCACCCAGAGCCAGACCUCCACCUCCUCACCCACAGCCAGACCUCCACCUCCUCACCCGGAGCCAGACCUCCACCUCCUCACCCAGAGCCAGACCUCCACCUCCUGUCAGAAGUCCUCCAGAACAGCUGAAAGGCGAGGCUGAGAGGCUGGGGACCGGAGGCUUGUUGUGCCAGGAUGGACCGGAGACUGAGGCUGGAGACCAGGGGCCUGCAGCACCGGACCAGAGGACCAGGAAUCCAUGUCUGGAGGAGCCGUGCUGAUGGAGGAGCCGUGCUGAAGGAGCCCUGCUGAAGGCCCUGCCUGGUGGAGGAGCUGUUGGAGUCCCUGCCUGGUGGAGGAGCUGAUGGAGGCCCUGCCUGGUGGAGGAGCUGAUGGAGGCCCUGCCUGGUGGAGGACGUCUGUCGUGGGACCAGGACUCUGUCUGAGGAGAGCUGCUGGAGGACGACUAGGAAUCGACCAACAAGGAUUCCUCAACGUGUUUCUGGAGUGGAGGCGAGCUGGUAGGGGAGCCGUGAAUCUGGAGGAUGACAUCACUCUACCAACAAGGAUUGGAAGUUUGUAUUAACCUAACAAAGUGGAAAUAAAGGGCUUUAAAAUAAGACAAACUACAUAUUUGUUUCCAGACGUUGGGGCCGGACUUGCGCUGUUUGUUCCAGACCAGGACUCUGGCUGAGGAGGGCUGAUGGAGGAGCCAAGACUCUGUAGGACGACAUCACUCCACCAACCAGGAUCCUCAGACAAAUUACGUUUGUAACCAGACCAGGAAUCUGGAGGACUGAUGGAGAAGCCGUACAUCUGGAAGGCAAAUCCUGAGGACAACCAGGACUCUACCAUCAAGGAUUCCUCACACAUCUGAGCUGAACCUCACCUGAUCCUGUUUGUCGGGGGCAGACACACCUGAGCUGAACCCCAACUGAACCUGACAUCCUGCUGGUCCCGUCUCCUCGGUUCAUCUAAGCCUCGUCCUCCAGAAGACCUGCUGAGCUCAGCAGUCUGAGGCUGAUGUAUCAAUGACCUCCAGUGGGAGUGAUCUUCUUGACCCCACAUGUAACUGUGUGCUUCCACACGUCUGUCACUAACCUCACUACUUCACUACUCUCUACUGCUUCCUCUUUUUCCUUCUCUGUGGUUCGAACCUUUACACGGAAGGCGCGUCUUCCUGCCCUCAGAGGGUUCAGCGUUAGGGUUGAGAGUCAGGGUUUAGAGUCAGGGACAGAGCUGGUCAGGGAGGACUGCUUUUACCCAAACCUCUUCACUUGCUUUCGGAAUGGUGGUGACAUUUUGAAAAGAUUCAUUUGGGAAAAUGUUUUCCUCUGCUUCCCUUUACAAAAUUGUAUUAAACUUCUGUCAAGUGCUUUUGUUUAUAUAUUAAAAUUCCAC
Molecule: long non-coding RNA, 5132 nt
Organism: Gadus chalcogrammus (walleye pollock)
Lineage: Eukaryota; Metazoa; Chordata; Actinopteri; Gadiformes; Gadidae
Exons: 8
Source: RefSeq, a predicted model, not a curated record